This 1267-nucleotide ribosomal RNA is filed under the name Nocardiopsis sp. DMSBDU-Ab4. RNAcentral's name for it is "bacterial SSU rRNA". It matches the Rfam family "Bacterial small subunit ribosomal RNA", at positions 56 to 1326 of the family's 1533-position model. Lineage: Bacteria; Bacillati; Actinomycetota; Actinomycetes; Streptosporangiales; Nocardiopsidaceae. The record is from RNAcentral.
UGCAGUCGAGCGGUAAGGCCCUUCGGGGUACACGAGCGGCGAACGGGUGAGUAACACGUGAGCAACCUGCCCCUGACUCCGGGAUAAGCGGUGGAAACGCCGUCUAAUACCGGAUACGACCCUCCUCCGCAUGGUGGGGGGUGGAAAGUUUUUUCGGUCGGGGAUGGGCUCGCGGCCUAUCAGCUUGUUGGUGGGGUAACGGCCUACCAAGGCGAUUACGGGUAGCCGGCCUGAGAGGGCGACCGGCCACACUGGGACUGAGACACGGCCCAGACUCCUGCGGGAGGCAGCAGUGGGGAAUAUUGCGCAAUGGGCGAAAGCCUGACGCAGCGACGCCGCGUGGGGGAUGACGGCCUUCGGGUUGUAAACCUCUUUUACCACUCACGCAGGCCCCACGUUUUCGUGGGGUUGACGGUAGGUGGGGAAUAAGGACCGGCUAACUACGUGCCAGCAGCCGCGGUAAUACGUAGGGUCCGAGCGUUGUCCGGAAUUAUUGGGCGUAAAGAGCUCGUAGGCGGCGUGUCGCGUCUGCUGUGAAAGACCGGGGCUUAACCCCGGUUCUGCAGUGGAUACGGGCAUGCUAGAGGUAGGUAGGGGAGACUGGAAUUCCUGGUGUAGCGGUGAAAUGCGCAGAUAUCAGGAGGAACACCGGUGGCGAAGGCGGGUCUCUGGGCCUUACCUGACGCUGAGGAGCGAAAGCAUGGGGAGCGAACAGGAUUAGAUACCCUGGUAGUCCAUGCCGUAAACGUUGGGCGCUAGGUGUGGGGACUUUCCACGGUUUCCGCGCCGUAGCUAACGCAUUAAGCGCCCCGCCUGGGGAGUACGGCCGCAAGGCUAAAACUCAAAGGAAUUGACGGGGGCCCGCACAAGCGGCGGAGCAUGUUGCUUAAUUCGACGCAACGCGAAGAACCUUACCAAGGUUUGACAUCACCCGUGGACCUGUAGAGAUACAGGGUCAUUUGGUUGGCGGGUGACAGGUGGUGCAUGGCUGUCGUCAGCUCGUGUCGUGAGAUGUUGGGUUAAGUCCCGCAACGAGCGCAACCCUUGUUCCAUGUUGCCAGCACGUAAUGGUGGGGACUCAUGGGAGACUGCCGGGGUCAACUCGGAGGAAGGUGGGGACGACGUCAAGUCAUCAUGCCCCUUAUGUCUUGGGCUGCAAACAUGCUACAAUGGCCGGUACAAUGGGCGUGCGAUACCGUGAGGUGGAGCGAAUCCCUAAAAGCCGGUCUCAGUUCGGAUUGGGGUCUGCAACUCGACCCCAUGAAGG